RNAcentral lists this long non-coding RNA (208 nucleotides) under Daucus carota (carrot). RNAcentral's name for it is "long non-coding RNA (DCAR_LNC000140)". The record is from RNAcentral. Lineage: Eukaryota; Viridiplantae; Streptophyta; Magnoliopsida; Apiales; Apiaceae.
CAUCAUUCCUAGAAUUUUGAAACAUCGCAUUUACUUGUUCAAGUUCGUGCGAAGGUUGGGUGCCGGGAUUUUGAAAAGUGUAAUUAGCGAGCAUCGACAUUUGUGGGGGAGAUUUACUAGUUUCUAAAGCUUCAAGUCUCCUAGUUAGGGUGGCUAGUUUGGCAUCGGUUGCCACAUUAUUUCCUAUCGAAUGCAAGCCCCUAGCGCU